AUGAUCUUAAAUACCAUCUAUCAUGUUAAAGUCAUGUUUCACUCAGGGUCCUUAGUUACAAGGAUGCUGUGGGAGCAAAUCCAGAUUACCCAGCGUAUCACAUGGCUUACCCCACCUGCCAUCACUCUAGAGUGGAAAAGGAAGUUGGCCCAGGAAGCCAUCCAGAGCCUCAGUGCCUCCAAGUUGGCCAAGAGCAUUUGCAGCCAGUUCUGCACUUAGUCCAAUAGUUCUCAUGAGGCUUUUUCAGCCUCCUUGUGGAAGCUGGAAGCUGGACACUCUGUGUGCCUGGAGAAAACUGAAGAACUGUGGCUACAAGUUUGAAAAGAGCAUACCCCCCACCUUACCAGCCUUUCUCUGGAGAGCCAUUCUUUACAGGAUAUCCUGCUGCACUGUAAACCUAAAUAAGGAGAAGAACUGGGCCAGGGCCAAUAUGAUGUGGUGUACCUGUGUGACAACUGUGGGGGACACUUCCCUUGUGCCCUCAAGUCGGUUGUCCCUCCAGGUGAGAAACACUGGAAUGAUCUGGCCUUGGAGUUUCACUGCAUGAGGUCUCUGCCAAUGCAUGAACGAUUGGUCGGUCUUCCUGGAUCAGUCAUUGAUUACAACUAUGGUGGGGGCUCCAGCAUCACUGUGCUACUCAUUAUUGAGCAGCCUCACCAGGAGCUCUACACUGGGCUGAAGGAUGAACUAACCCUGGAGUCACGUUUUCAGAUUGCUCUGAAUGUAGCAGAGAGAAUAUGAUUCCUGCACAGUCAGGGGCUUGUCCAUCAUGACAUCAAACUGAAGAAUGUGCUGCUGGACAAACAAAACCAUGCCAAGCUCACUGACUUAGGAUUCUGCCAACUAGAGGCUAUGAUGUCAGGCAGCAUUGUGGGGACACCAGUCCAUAUGGCCCUUGAACUUUUCACAGGAAAGCAUGAUAAUUCUGUGGACAGCUACACUUUGGGGAUUCUUUUCUGGUAUGUCUGCUCAGUUCUAUCAAGCUCCCUGAGGCAUUUGAGAGGUGUGCUAGCAAAGACCAUCUCCAGGACAAUGUGCACAGAGAGGCCCGUCCAGAACGUUUCUCUUACACUCUCUUUCUUUUCUUCCUUCUCAACUUUUGGCCAUGGGGAGAAUUUGAUGUUUGUUCAUAA
RNA transcript from Nannospalax galili (Upper Galilee mountains blind mole rat), 1133 nucleotides. It is a transcript of the gene named dual serine/threonine and tyrosine protein kinase pseudogene, with no coding region annotated. The record is from RefSeq and is a predicted model, not a curated record. NCBI's taxonomy places the organism in Eukaryota, Metazoa, Chordata, Mammalia, Rodentia, Spalacidae. The transcript has a single exon.